GACGAACGCUGGCGGCGUGCUUAACACAUGCAAGUCGAACGGAAAGGCCCUGCUUUUGUGGGGUGCUCGAGUGGCGAACGGGUGAGUAACACGUGAGUAACCUGCCCUUGACUUUGGGAUAACUUCAGGAAACUGGGGCUAAUACCGGAUAGGAGCUCCUGCUGCAUGGUGGGGGUUGGAAAGUUUCGGCGGUUGGGGAUGGACUCGCGGCUUAUCAGCUUGUUGGUGGGGUAGUGGCUUACCAAGGCUUUGACGGGUAGCCGGCCUGAGAGGGUGACCGGCCACAUUGGGACUGAGAUACGGCCCAGACUCCUACGGGAGGCAGCAGUGGGGAAUAUUGCACAAUGGGCGGAAGCAGGAUGCAGCAACGCCGCGUGCGGGAUGACGGCCUUCGGGUUGUAAACCGCUUUCGCCUGUGACGAAGCGUGAGUGACGGUAAUGGGUAAAGAAACACCGGCUAACUACGU
Molecule: ribosomal RNA, 467 nt
Filed under: uncultured bacterium
Lineage: Bacteria
Description: partial 16S ribosomal RNA
Rfam family: Bacterial small subunit ribosomal RNA
Source: RNAcentral